Anguilla rostrata (American eel) is the source of this 940-nucleotide long non-coding RNA. RefSeq lists it as uncharacterized. NCBI's taxonomy places the organism in Eukaryota, Metazoa, Chordata, Actinopteri, Anguilliformes, Anguillidae. The transcript is spliced from 3 exons. The record is from RefSeq and is a predicted model, not a curated record.
UAUGUAAGCCACUCUGCUGCCUGUUUGUUACCUCUAGUGGCAUGGCAACAAGAGACACACAGCCAGCCUGAAAUGGAGCCAUUUUAAGAGGAGUUAUGUGAACAGGAGGACUGAGCAUUGAUCUGCUCCAAAAGCCAAGGACCAAUCAUACUGGGCGUCUGUCCGGCCCGGGUGAAUGACUGACAGAUGAAAUGGCUAAAUGACAGGCGUGUGUGUGGAGCGAAGGUGAUGGGGGCAGGGAGGACUGCUGCUGACGGUGGAACACGGACACGGUACUCUGGACCACAACUGAAAAGCGAGCUUGAAUAAACUCCACCUGAAGCAGUAAACCCUCCAGAUGUGCACAUUCAACUAAAACAGUAUCUCUAAAACCCCACAAAAGGAACAUCCCCCCUCUACUGCAGGAUCCAGGUGUGCCUUAUAGUAACCGUCUGUUCUCGGCCAUCACCCCCAUGCAUGACCCUUCCCCACUGAUCACCUGAUCUUUUCAAUGGAUCAACAGGGGGCUUGUGCAGGCCCUCCAGCUACCUUUCAGAAAAGAAAUAUAGAGGGAAAGAGAGACGAGGAAGGGAGAGGGGGAAAUCAACAGAGAGAAAAAGAAUGAGAAAUGUGCUGCCCUCCUCAAGUCACCCUCCACGGGAAUGAAUUCUUUAAUUAAAAUGCAGCACAAUGGAAAGCAUUCACCCCUGAAAGUGUUAAAAUCAGAAAGGAAACUAAAGGCAGAGGUGGAAAAUCUGACUAAAGGAAUCUAGUAGUGAGAGAUGAAUAGGAGGACAGAAGUGUAUAAUAACAGUUUUUUUUUAUAGUGAGCAGGCCUGCUGUUCAAAUUCACUUUUUUAUUAUUAAAAAAAAAACCCUUUUGUCCAGAGCAGCCACCUUGUGUAUCGGUGAGGCUCAUAUGAUGAUUUCAACUGCUAUGGUAUAACAUGGAUGGCCAAAG